UACGUAGGUGGCAAGCGUUGUCCGGAUUUAUUGGGUUUAAAGGGUGCGUAGGCGGCCUUAUAAGUCAGUGCUGAAAUAUCCCGGCUUAACCGGGAGGGUGGCAUUGAUACUGUAGGGCUUGAGUAAAGUUGAGGUUGGCGGAAUUGACGGUGUAGCGGUGAAAUGCUUAGAUAUCGUCAAGAACACCGAUAGUGAAGACAGCUAACUAAGCUUUAACUGACGCUGAGGCACGAAAGUGUGGGGAUCAAACAGG
This 253-nucleotide ribosomal RNA is filed under the name uncultured bacterium. RNAcentral describes it as "partial 16S ribosomal RNA". It matches the Rfam family "Bacterial small subunit ribosomal RNA", at positions 524 to 776 of the family's 1533-position model. The record is from RNAcentral.